RNAcentral lists this long non-coding RNA (254 nucleotides) under Lathyrus oleraceus (garden pea). Its description in RNAcentral is "Pisum sativum (pea) long non-coding RNA (PSAT_LNC034045)". Lineage: Eukaryota; Viridiplantae; Streptophyta; Magnoliopsida; Fabales; Fabaceae. The record is from RNAcentral.
UUAUUCCAAAAAUACAACAACAUCAACAUCAUUAUGUUGGGAUUGAUUGAAAGAGCAGAAAAAAUAUUUUUUUUAAGAUAGAAGAACAUUGAAGAUUUUUUUUGUCUUGUAAUUCAUCCCAAAGAAUGAUGUUUACACGUUUGGAGUGGUUAUAUAUAAGUUAGGUUUAUGGUAAAAUCUGAUUAACGAGUGUUUUUAUAGUAAAAUCUGAUAAUCUAAUCUAUCAGUUAUUAACUACAACAGAAGAAAUAAAU